UAGCUAAGUUGGUUAGAGCGUGGUGCUGAUAACACCAAGGUCGCGGGUUCGAUCCCUGU
Molecule: transfer RNA, 59 nt
Filed under: Apaloderma vittatum (bar-tailed trogon)
Lineage: Eukaryota; Metazoa; Chordata; Aves; Trogoniformes; Trogonidae
Rfam family: tRNA
About the family: Transfer RNA (tRNA) molecules are approximately 80 nucleotides in length. Their secondary structure includes four short double-helical elements and three loops (D, anti-codon, and T loops).
Source: Rfam by way of RNAcentral